GAUGAACGCUGGCGGCGUGCUUACCACUUGCAAGUCAAACGAACCUUCGGGUUAGUGGCGGACGGGUGAGUAACGCGUGAAAAUCUGCCCUCAGGAGGGGGAUAACGGCUGGAAACGGCCGCUAAUACCCCAUAUGCCGCGAGGUGAAAUGAAUUUCGCCUGAGGAUGAGCUCGCGUCUGAUUAGCUAGUUGGUGGGGUAAAGGCCUACCAAGGCAUCGAUCAGUAGCUGGUCUGAGAGGAUGAUCAGCCACACUGGGACUGAAACACGGCCCAAACUCCUACGGGAGGCAGCAGUGGGGAAUUUUCCGCAAUGGGCGAAAGCCUGACGGAGCAACGCCGCGUGAGGGAUGAAGGCCUCUGGGCUGUAAACCUCUUUUAUCAAGGAAAAAAAUCUGACGGUACUUGAUGAAUAAGCCACGGCUAAUUCCGUG
Molecule: ribosomal RNA, 432 nt
Filed under: uncultured bacterium
Lineage: Bacteria
Description: bacterial SSU rRNA
Rfam family: Bacterial small subunit ribosomal RNA
Source: RNAcentral